Molecule: ribosomal RNA, 271 nt
Filed under: uncultured bacterium
Lineage: Bacteria
Description: partial 16S ribosomal RNA
Rfam family: Bacterial small subunit ribosomal RNA
Source: RNAcentral
AUGGGCCUACGGGAGGCAGCAGUGGGGAAUAUUGCGCAAUGGGGGAAACCCUGACGCAGCAACGCCGCGUGCAGGAAGAAGGUCUUCGGAUUGUAAACUGUUGUCGCAGGGGAAGAAGACAGUGACGGUACCCUGUGAGAAAGUCACGGCUAACUACGUGCCAGCAGCCGCGGUAAUACGUAGGUGACAAGCGUUGUCCGGAUUUACUGGGUGUAAAGGGCGCGUAGGCGGGAUAGCAAGCCAGUCGUGAAAUGCGGAGGCUUAAACUGGG